CCUACGGGAGGCAGCAGUGGGGAAUAUUGGACAAUGGGGGGAACCCUGAUCCAGCGACGCCGCGUGAGUGAAGAAGUAUUUCGGUAUGUAAAGCUCUAUCAGCAGGGAAGAAAAUGACGGUACCUUACUAAGCAGCCCCGGCUAAAUACGUGCCAGCCGCCGCGGUAAUACGUAGGGGGCCAGCGUUAUCCGGAUGUACUGGGUGUAAAGGGAGCGUAGACGGUGCAGCAAGUCUGAUGUGAAAGGUCGGGGCCCAACCCCGGGACUGCUUUGGAAACUGUUGAACUUGAGUACAGGAGAGGUAAGCGGAAUUCCUAGUGUAGCGGUGAAAUGCGUAGAUAUUAGGAGGAACACCAGUGGCGAAGGCGGCCUACUGGACUGUAACUGACGUUGAGGCUCGAAAGCGUGGGGAGCAAACAGGAUUAGAUACCCUUGUAGUC
RNAcentral lists this ribosomal RNA (440 nucleotides) under uncultured bacterium. Its description in RNAcentral is "partial 16S ribosomal RNA". It matches the Rfam family "Bacterial small subunit ribosomal RNA", at positions 338 to 795 of the family's 1533-position model. The record is from RNAcentral.